This 300-nucleotide ribosomal RNA is filed under the name uncultured Lactobacillus sp. RNAcentral's name for it is "bacterial SSU rRNA". It matches the Rfam family "Bacterial small subunit ribosomal RNA", at positions 496 to 795 of the family's 1533-position model. Lineage: Bacteria; Bacillati; Bacillota; Bacilli; Lactobacillales; Lactobacillaceae. The record is from RNAcentral.
GCUAACUACGGUCCAGGUGCCGCGGUAAUACGUAGGGUGCAAGCGUUAUCCGGAUUUAUUGGGCGUAAAGCGAGCGCAGGCGGUUUUUUAAGUCUGAGGUGAAAGCCCUCGGCUUAACCGAGGAAGCGCAUCGGAAACUGGGAAACUUGAGUGCAGAAGAGGACAGUGGAACUCCAUGUGUAGCGGUGAAAUGCGUAGAUAUAUGGAAGAACACCAGUGGCGAAGGCGGCUGUCUGGUCUGUAACUGACGCUGAGGCUCGAAAGCAUGGGUAGCGAACAGGAUUAGAUACCCGAGUAGUC